RNAcentral lists this ribosomal RNA (200 nucleotides) under uncultured bacterium. RNAcentral describes it as "partial 16S ribosomal RNA". It matches the Rfam family "Bacterial small subunit ribosomal RNA", at positions 29 to 256 of the family's 1533-position model. The record is from RNAcentral.
AGCGAACGCUGGCGGCAGGCCUAACACAUGCAAGUCGAACGAACUCUUCGGAGUUAGUGGCGGACGGGUGAGUAACACGUGGGAACGUGCCUUUUGGUUCGGAAUAACUCAGGGAAACUUGUGCUAAUACCGGAAUGUGCCCUUCGGGGAAAGAUUUAUCGCCAUUAGAGCGGCCCGCGUCUGAUUAGCUAGUUGGUGAG